CUAUCCAUGUAAAGAUGUGACUUGCUCCGCCUUGCCUUCCACCAUGAUUGUGAGGCCUCCCCAGACAUGUGGAACUGUGAGCAAACCCGGCAGGCCUUCUCCCUCUCAGUGCUGGAUUUUACUGCAGCAGCCUCCUGCCUGGACUGGGGCCUCUACGCCCACACCACCGUCUCCCUGCCUUUGCCAGAAGGCUCUGACAGUGCCUCCCUGCCUGGACCUUUCACGGCCGCUGGGAUGAAGCCUGGGCACCAUAGACCGCCCAUCCUCCAUGUCCCCCACCUUCCUAGCCCCGGCCUACAAGCAGCCUUGCUCACCUCACUUGCCACCUGUCCCUUCCAGUGUGCCUAUGUGCCUUGGUCCCUGCU
Molecule: long non-coding RNA, 365 nt
Filed under: Homo sapiens (human)
Lineage: Eukaryota; Metazoa; Chordata; Mammalia; Primates; Hominidae
Description: non-protein coding lnc-ZPLD1-3:1
Source: RNAcentral